UUGUUUUUUACUUUCUUGCACAAUUUUGGGGUCCAAUGAGGGGGGCCAACAUCUUUAGUCAAUUUAGACGUCGGAACCUCCUAAAACUGACGUCUAAAUAGGUUUUUUAUUUACAAAAUUGUUAUUGAUAAUUUGUAACGUUGGAUUUUCUGUGGUCAGACAUUAUAGGCGUGAUAUUAUUCCAUAUUUUUGCACUAAUGUUAGUUCAAAGUACUUUGAAA
Molecule: long non-coding RNA, 221 nt
Filed under: Vigna radiata
Lineage: Eukaryota; Viridiplantae; Streptophyta; Magnoliopsida; Fabales; Fabaceae
Description: long non-coding RNA (VRAD_LNC018411)
Source: RNAcentral